Long non-coding RNA from Toxorhynchites rutilus septentrionalis, 1398 nucleotides. RefSeq lists it as uncharacterized. NCBI's taxonomy places the organism in Eukaryota, Metazoa, Arthropoda, Insecta, Diptera, Culicidae. The transcript has 3 exons. The record is from RefSeq and is a predicted model, not a curated record.
GUCAUCAAGGAAAACUCAGUUUGCUAACUCAAAUCAUUUUAAUUGGAUGAUUUUGUAUGUGUUUUGUUCACUGUGCGUUGGUAAUGGUCGGUAUGGUUGGUUGGUCGGUAAUCCUAAUAUCCUCGUUCAUGGUGUUGAGGAAUCUAGGGUGUACCAGAAAUGUUACUUUGAAAUUACUAUGGACCAUAACGGACAAACGUGCACAAACAUGACACCGCGUUUGCGAAUUAAUUGGGCCAAUACUGCUGAAUAUGUUGAGGAUGUAAAAAUGGGGCGAAAAUGACGUUGGUAAUAAUUUGCAUACUCAUGAUUCCGGACGUGACAAAACUAUUCAUCGCAAAAGGAAUGGAAUUGCAUGCUAGAUCUCAGCGUCUCGGUGAUACGGUUUAUGUUCAAUGGAGAGCCAAUGUAUGUUUGAUUUUAAUCUAACUUGAAUGUUUUUUUUUUCCGGUGAUGAGCUGCUCGUCGAAGCUAAGUUGUCAAUUUUAUUUUGGUUUCCGCGUUUCUGUCUGCGAUGUUGAACCCUAAGAUGGAAGAAUUCGGCGAUAUGCUGGUCGAGAGCACUCACAACUUGUGAGACAAAGAGCGAAUUCAACAAAGUUAAACAAAGACAACGGAAACCAUCGUAGCUCCCAUUCAGUUCCGUACAGCAUAUACGGCUAUGGCGACUAUCAGAAAGCUGUUGAUCUAUGGAUACAAUUCGGACCAACAAACUGGUGAGACGAAUGAGCCCCUUGCGGCGGAAGCAUUCAGACAGAACUUCGCAACCAUCAGAACGCACCUAGCGGAGAAGACGUAUGCUGUUAUGUCAAGAAAGACAUACUUUUAGUUUGAGGUACGGACUGUGGGACUGAUGAGGGACUGCAAUUCCGAAACGAUGUUGGGGAAUGAUGAUCCAUCGUGUGCUUUUGAUGGCUACAAUAUAAGCAUGAGCACAAAUAUCGAAUCCGAUUGUUCAAUACGAGCAAUCACGACCCCUCAAUCCAAUGUAGUCGUUCUGUUACAAGAAAACAAGCCCCAAAUUCCUACUGAAGACACAUUUCCACUGCCUCAUUAAAUGGGCAAGUAAACUACACCUGCGCAGGGUCGAAGAUUUCGGUAGGCGAUACCUGGUCGGAAACGUAAUCGUUUUCUUCUUAAAUAUCCUCGACAAGAUCAGCACGAGAGGAAUAAAUACGAACUAAGAGUACUGGGUACUGGUGUCAUCGACUUCCUGCUAAUCAGCGCCCCAUUCUCUAGAGACAGCGAUGCAGUAGAAGGAGUUAUUGCGACGAGAAUUAUUGUUGUUUUCAAAUUUUACAUUUUUUUUUAUUGUAGAACUAUUGAAAUUAUAGAAUAAGUUAUUAGUGAAAUAUUAUAUAACAUGUUAUCAAACACAGGAUUUUAAAUAAAACAAAA